GAGAGAGAGAAAUAAAUGAAAACUAUUACAAAAGGUAUGCUAGAUUGUUCAUUGGCUCAUUUCAGCUUACUGUCAUGGUAUUUAAUGAACAUGCAUUAUUUUACUGUGUGCUGGGAAUUAAAAAAAAAAUGUUUAUCUAUAGUUUAGGCCAAUUACUAUAAACUGUAUUUAUUUAUUCAUUAGUAAAAAAAAAAAAAAAGUGGGCUAUUGAGACAAAUUGACAACCCUGUACCACUGCUGGGGACUAUUAUUACAAGAAUACAAGUACAGUGACAUUGAAAAGGCUAAAAAAGUGAGUCAGCUUGCAGAAGACACUUUUAACUGCAUUUACUGGAGACCACAGGACAAUAUAUUGGUGUAAUGACAGCUGUGUUUAUUUACUUGUUAAAUUAAAGAUAAUCAUUUAUAAGCUUAUUAAGAUAAAACUAGAAGAUGUUUCCUUCAGCUAGAUGCAUUCUUUAUUUCAACGCUGCAUAUUUACAGUGAAAUCCUAUAUUUUAAAUUUGUGAUUACUCUAGAGCAAGGGUGCCCAAUCCUGUUCCUGGAUGAAGUCAAAAUGGAUGGGGGAUGGUGGGUCUUUUCUGCUCUCUGGAACAAAUUUCCACUCCAAAGUGUCGUUGAUUCCUUCCCCGCCUUGGGCGUGCUCCUCUGUCUUUCCCUUUAAGGAGGGCACCAGUGGCAUGACGGGGAAGUGAAUGAAUCUGUGCCUCAUUUUGGCUUGCUCCAUGUGGGGUGUGGACCUGUCAGCGGUUCACAAGGUGGCAAACUCGGAGAAGAAGAGGCAUUUGAUCUCCCUGGCCUCUGGCCGUGUGGACACAGAAGACACCAUGUCCACUGUUGGAGGAUGCCGGCCCAGCUAGACAGGCACCUGAAGCAGCAUGCUGAGCUUUCUGCCUUAGCAGGAGGCCAUAGGGAAAGCAAAGUGCCGGAAGGUGGCCUAAGAACUGCGGUGGCUGCAGUCCACUCAGUAGUCUCUAGACUAGCGUCAGAAGAAGACCAGAAACCAGACGACCCUGAGGCCGGGUGUCAGCUCACUACAGAGCACAUCCAGGCCAAGCUGUCAGAUGAGGUCUACCAUGGGUGAAGUCACACACUGAUACCAGGAGUUGCAGAGGUCAUAGGUCCUACACCUGCUGAGGCUCAGGAAGUCUACAACCAGCAUCCCUAUCCAGACCAUGUUCCAGCCCUCAAGCAGCUUUUGGAAGAGUUUGAGGGUUUCCAACUGGGCAGUGACCACACAGCCCAUUUGUGAAACAAUGUGACGUCCAAGCUGACGAGGAUCAAGGCGUUCCUUGGAUACAUGGCGAAAGGGUCUCGAUCCAGAGAGAAAGCACUGCCCUGGUGCUGACAGUAUGGAGGUCAAAGCUCUGAUUCACAGUAUAUGCUGGAAUGUCGUUGUGCAUGAGGUAACAAAGACAGGUUGAUCUCGAUCUUCUAGGUGAGUGUUUAGUCUGUCAGUCAGUGUUCCCAUCAUCCCUUCCAUCUUAGAUGGGGAAUGGUGGGUACACUGACCCUUUUUUUUGUUCCGUUUCUGCUCUGGGGCACCAACAGCUCUUAGUUAAACCAUUCAAAUCAGUGUAUCCACUAUCCCCUUGGUCUUGGAUGGAGGGUACACUGACUUUUUUUUGUUCGUUUCUGCUCUGGGGCACCAACAGUUCCCAGUUAAACCAUUCAAGUCAGUGCCCACUAUCCCCUUUGUCUUGGAUGGAGGAUGCUGGCUACACUGACUUUUGUUAGUUUCUGUUCUGGGGCACCAACAGCUCUCAGUUAAACCAUUCAUAGUGUUUGAGGCUUGUUGGAAAAGUCUAAUCUGUCUAAUUGAUGAGGAUACUGCCUUUGCCAGAUAACCUCAAGUCCUACCCAGACAUGGUUUAAUGGACCGCUGUGGCGUGUUCCAGCAUCUAACCAUGCAGAAGGUUGAAAAGGCCUCCAGAAGCCUGGAUGGGUCUGCCUAUGUCAUCAACGAGAGUGUGACUCUUAGGCUCUGCAGGUGGGGGACACCAAUAGUAUGCACGCACUCACCUUCUCUUUCUCUCUGUUUGUUCCAUGGCCAGACCACCACGCAUAAGACAAACAGAGCCUUUGGUGCUACCCAGUUGUCUCUAGACAAGGAAUAUUACAGCUGGCUCCAGAGGUUCUUGGACCUACAGACUGGUCUCACUGACCAAUUCCCUGCAGCCCUGAAUAAAUAUUUUUAUCUGCGUGGACCAGCAUGGGGCUUCCUGGGAGACCCACUUUCACUGAUCUCCGGCAAAGAAUGCACACUCUUCAGAGGAUCGCCGGAAGGUGGCCCAUGUCAUGACACUUCAACCUCAGAUAAAUUCUACGCACUUCACCUGGGCCCUCUGUGAGCACUGCAGACUCUUUGAAAGAGCCUUGGUGGAGGAGGAGGUGGGCAAAGAAAGCCAGCCAAGGAAGGGGCACAAGAGGGCAGACAGUCGCCGGUCACCCCUGGAGGACACUGCCAUGGCAGUCUGCAAAAAUGAAAAGCCAGGGGGCACAGCCGCUCAAACCAACGAAUGACUUUGAAUCUCCCUGAAGAAAUAAAUACAAUUUUCUAAAACAAUAAAGCUCAUAAGGUGUUCAGAUAUUUAUUGCUACAGUGUCUUUAUUGAGGUAGGCUGGUCAUCAUUCCUGUCUGUGUGUUAAAGUGGCUUGCGGGAUGCCCAUGUACAGGUUCAGCCUUGGUUAAAAGCCUGUCAGGAAAAAUGAUCCCUGUCUCCUGUGUUAAAAGUGGUAUGUGAGACACCCGUGUCCAGACUUAGUUAAAAGCCUAUCGGGACAAAUGAGCCCUGUUGCAGCACAAGUAGGUGCUAGCCUGGAUGAGCCUGUGCCUGGUUUGAAUGGCCAUUUGGCCUGUGGUCAAACUCAUGGUUUUAGCAAGCAUCUCCUGGGAUGGCUGCCCAGGAGUCAGGCUUGGCUCCUUGGAGAUCUACCUUGAUUAAACACACCUGUCUUUAAUUACUAAUUGCUCCUUCAGUUUAGUUGAUUUUGAUCAGGGUUGGAGCUGAACUCUCAAGGAGGGUAGAUCUCUAGGAACAGGAUUGGGCAACCUGCUCUAGAUUAAUCAGUCCAUGGUUGCAAUUAGCACAUUAAUUUUGUUCAAUCGAUUGACAGCCCUAAUAUAUAUAUAAACAUUGCCUUUCGCAAUAUCCAUAAUUUUCAAUGAACAUUUUUACUGAGCUUGCGAGAACAACCCAUAAGGUACACAUGUUAUGCUGCCUUAGACUUUGGAUAGCUGAAUAUUUAGUGUAUAA
Danio aesculapii is the source of this 3257-nucleotide long non-coding RNA. RefSeq lists it as uncharacterized. The transcript has 5 exons. The record is from RefSeq and is a predicted model, not a curated record. Lineage: Eukaryota; Metazoa; Chordata; Actinopteri; Cypriniformes; Danionidae.